GAUGAACGCUGGCGGCGUGCCUAAUACAUGCAAGUCGAGCGAACGGACGAGAAGCUUGCUUUUCUGACGUUAGCGGCGGACGGGUGAGUAACACGUGGAUAACCUACCUAUAAGACUGGGAUAACUUCGGGAAACCGGAGCUAAUACCGGAUAAUAUUUUGAACCGCAUGGUUCAAUAGUGAAAGACGGUCUUGCUGUCACUUAUAGAUGGAUCCGCGCUGCAUUAGCUAGUUGGUAAGGUAACGGCUUACCAAGGCAACGAUGCAUAGCCGACCUGAGAGGGUGAUCGGCCACACUGGAACUGAGACACGGUCCAGACUCCUACGGGAGGCAGCAGUAGGGAAUCUUCCGCAAUGGGCGAAAGCCUGACGGAGCAACGCCGCGUGAGUGAUGAAGGUCUUCGGAUCGGAAAACUCUGUUAUUAGGGAAGAACAUAUGUGUAAGUAACUGUGCACAGCUUGACGGUACCUAAUCAGAAAGCCACGGCUAACUACGUG
This 497-nucleotide ribosomal RNA is filed under the name uncultured bacterium. RNAcentral describes it as "partial 16S ribosomal RNA". It matches the Rfam family "Bacterial small subunit ribosomal RNA", at positions 28 to 507 of the family's 1533-position model. The record is from RNAcentral.